UCCACGCCGUAAACGAUGGUUACUAGCUGUUUGGACUUCGGUCUGAGUGGCUAAGCGAAAGUGAUAAGUAACCCACCUGGGGAGUACGUUCGCAAGAAUGAAACUCAAAGGAAUUGACGGGGGCCCGCACAAGCGGUGGAGCAUGUGGUUUAAUUCGAUGAUACGCGAGGAACCUUACCAGGGCUUAAAUGUAAGUUGCAUUAGUUAGAGAUAGCUAUUUCUUCGGACCACUU
RNAcentral lists this ribosomal RNA (233 nucleotides) under uncultured bacterium. RNAcentral describes it as "partial 16S ribosomal RNA". It matches the Rfam family "Bacterial small subunit ribosomal RNA", at positions 794 to 1032 of the family's 1533-position model. The record is from RNAcentral.